GUGCCAGCAGCCGCGGUAAUACGUAGGGUCCGAGCGUUGUCCGGAGUUACUGGGCGUAAAGCGCGCGCAGGCGGUCCCGCGCGCCCGGCGUGAAAGCCCCCGGCUCAACCGGGGAGGGUCGUCGGGGACGGCGGGACUUGAGGGCGGUAGGGGCCGGUGGAAUCCCUGGUGUAGUGGUGAAAUGCGUAGAGAUCAGGGGGAACACCCGUGGCGAAGGCGGCCGGCUGGGCCGACCCUGACGCUGAGGCGCGAAGGCGUGGGGAGCGAACGGGAUUAGAUACCCCCGUAGUCC
This 292-nucleotide ribosomal RNA is filed under the name uncultured bacterium. RNAcentral describes it as "partial 16S ribosomal RNA". It matches the Rfam family "Bacterial small subunit ribosomal RNA", at positions 505 to 796 of the family's 1533-position model. The record is from RNAcentral.